Brassica napus (rape) is the source of this 8304-nucleotide long non-coding RNA. RefSeq lists it as uncharacterized. Lineage: Eukaryota; Viridiplantae; Streptophyta; Magnoliopsida; Brassicales; Brassicaceae. The record is from RefSeq and is a predicted model, not a curated record. The transcript is spliced from 3 exons.
UUUUUAUUUUAGUAUUUUUUUUUAUAAAAUUUUAAACCCUAAUUCCAAAACCCCACCCCUUAACUCUAAACCCUAAGGUUUGAAUUAAUUAACCCAAGGGGUAUAAGUAUAUAUUUACCUCUUUAAUGAAACCUAUUUUUGUGACUUUGAGCCUUGAGUGCUACUUUGGGAACAUAAACUUGGUUUAGUGCUAUUCUAGUCUUUUUCUCAUAUUUAUAUCCGUGUAUGAGCAUGAGAAAAUCACCUAGUAAUAAAUAAACACAUUGUAAAUUGCAACACUAUACAAGAGAUUAAAAAAAAACAACUCACCCCAUGAAGAAAACUUCAAAACCAAACAUGCAUGAAUGAAGCUCUCUGACUCCAAAUGAUAUGAAACUCCCGAACUAAGACAAAACGAAAACAUGAUUUUACUAGCACUUUUCUUCGCAGACGCAAUGCAACGUUGUUGUGUAUUUCCUCCUCUUUUCUCCGCACACCAACCUCUCCUGUUACAGUCGCAUCACAUCAAGAUUGAUUACCAAAUCCAUAGCCAAGAAGAGAACUACGAAAAAAAUUCUCAAAGAUGAGAAGCAGAAAGCAUGGCCAGAGAAGUCACGAAGAACUGCUUUGGAUCUCUAAUGUCUUCGAGAGGAUCCACUUCUCUUCUCCGAACAUUGUGAAGAUUCACAACGGCAGAUUCACAAAGGCAGCUGAUAUUUCUGGCAUCUCAGGUUCAUCAAUGGCACUUUCCUGCUCAGGCCUUGAAACAAGAGUCACUAUACUAUUCACCAUAUCACCCCAUAUCUUAGAAGCUGCUGGAUUGAGAAGGGCUGGAGUCUCACAUAUGAGUCUUGUCGCGGCAACUGUGGUUAACUUUACCUCCAUAGUUCGCAUGAUCAGCUUAAGGUUUGGAAUCCAGAAACGCUCCACGAUCGUAGUGAAAAUGUUCUGUUGAACAGUAUUCAUAGUGUCGACUAGAUUAGCCGGUCCGUGCUUCCGUGAACAAAUCAAUGCCAACAAUACUUUAUAUGGGUUUGCAUUUUUAUGUUCAAAUAAAACAUAAAAAUCAUCAUAAAUAAAAUUAGAAAGAUUAAGUUAAUUGACAUAUUGUCCAACUAACAAAAUCAAUCACAAAUUCAAACCAAUACAUCCAAAGUGAUCAAUUUGCUAAAUGUUUUAUACUUAAAUCAAAUUUAAAACUUUACAAGCUUUGCAAAUAACUCACUUUGGACAUCUAUUUCUCAUUCAACACAACUCCGAUUUUGACAAGUAAAUACACUAAUUCAUAGUGUUCACGGUGACGAUUACAUCGUGCCCAAAUUCCUGUUUUUCCGACAGACGUCUCCGUCAAAAACUCAUCGGAAAAAUGGUCAACACCACUUUGUCAAAACCGAAUUCCAACAAAAAGGAGUAAAGAAAACAGCAGGACACAAUAUAGUUCAAUCUAAUGGAACACCGCAUAGGUUCAUAGCUCAUGACAAACACACAUUUUGACUCCGAGAGAUAUACGCAAUGUUACAUCUGGUUGGUACUUGGAUGGAUAUCAUGGUAGUUUGUUCUUGAUCAUAUACUACCAUGAUAUCUUAAUCUUUUUUAUUUGGUACUUUUUUUAGUCAACUGUUUUAUUUGGUAUUUAGGAUAUAAUUGACCCACUCUUAUUUCUUGUAAUGGAAGUUAUCAAUAGAAAAUGCCUUGGUAUGAAAAAACUUCAAACAAAAUUCGAUUUAUUCAAAUCCAGCAUGUAAUCAAAAACUGUUUCCUCACUGUGAUAUCUUUUGAUUAUCACUCUCUUUAAUUGAAAAAGAAUAUCGACUAAGAGGAACAACCAUAAAAGAGUGUGCAAUCCAUCAAUAAGGAGGGAUUAGGGUUCUUUUUUUCUUUGUUUACUUCUUAAAGGUUUUAAGAUGAAAAAAAACGUGAGCUAGUGAAAACAAGGGGGAGAUGAAUUUUUGGUUUUGGUAUAUCUAUUUUGUUUGUUUAGAGGUUAGUUCUUAUUAAUUGGAUUAUGAUGAUACAAAGCUCCCUGAAUUUUAUUUUGAUGAUAAGGUAUACAAUUUAUUUUAUAUUGUCAUUUAAUUUAUGUUAUAAGUUUCUAAAUUUCCUCAUAUUACUGUGUUUCUAUUAAAACAAUAAAUCAUUUUAAGAUAUCAGUUAUGCAUUCGAAUGAGAUAAGCAUUACAUACUUGAGGUAGGUACAAAUAGCAUAAUCCGAGUCAUCGAUCAUGAGAAACUUACCGAACAUAUGGUAACUUCUUAUGUAGAGUCAAUAAAAAUGUAUAAUCUCUUUUCACAUGUACAAAUAUUAUCUUCCUAAGUCUAAAUUAAUAAAGAUAAAACUUUAUACUAUAAUAGGUUCAAUCAUCUACUAAUUGCUAAUAGAGAAAUUUAACAUAUUUUAGUUUUAGUUUCUAUCUAUAUUUUUCAUGAUUUAAAUUGUUACAAUUGUUUGUGUGUUUUCAGUUUAGAUAAACUUUAAAUGUAACUGAGCAAUGAAAUAAAAGAAUUUGGAGGGAAAUGGAAUGCACAAGACUUGCUCAUAGAUGUCCUUCAAAUUGUUUAACAUGCUUUACAAGAUGCAAAUGUCUUUAAUGAUGAUAUUUUUUCUUUUAUUCAAUUUCAAAAGUUAUUGUUAAGUGUUUUAUAUCUUCUUAAUUACUACUCCUACUCUGCAUAUUUGAAACUAUAAAGAAAAACAUAUAUUUUCUAAGUUCAGCAUAAAACAACUUCUAAGCAAGACUUUCGGUAUAUCAUGAUCACCUGUGAAGAUCAUCAAGUCGCUAUGGUAGGCUGCGGCUAUAUCUGACAUCAUUCUCAGUUUAUAUGGACUGACUGCCAACUGUCGUAUCAAAGAACUAGCGGGUAGUUUAACAAGAACAGGUUCCAACAAGUCUUGUGGCAGAGACAUUUUUUCAAUACAUUUAUCUGGCAUUUUUUCAGACAUCAACCUGAAAAGAAUAAGAAAAAAUAAGCAAAACUUUCAGUAUAUUUAUAAACCUUAAACCCCAAAUCCACCUAAAAAUUAAAUCCUAAUCAAAGAUUGUGAAAAAGAAAGAGAUGAAACUUGUUAGUUGAUUCGAUGGAACAGAGUACUUUGUUGUCACAAGAGCUUGCUCUGCGAAUCUCUCCAAAAGAAAAGGAAAUAAAAACGCAAAAUUUUCAGAACAUCUGUAAACCUUAAUCCCCAACUCAACCUCGAAAUUAAACCCUAAAAGAAGAAGAAGAAGAAGGUCUUUGGUUUCAACGGUCUAAAUCUUUUUUCAACGUUAUUAUUUUACUAUCAUUUCAUUUCUUUGCCUAAUUUUUCAUUUAAUUAUAUAGCUGCCAUUUUUAAAAGAAGAAGAAAAAAAUGUGAAGUGUUAAAAAUUUGUAAAAUAUUAAUUACCGUUUUGAUUCCAAAAACCGACCCCGCGCGUGUUAUUGAUGAUGAUUGUCUCUUCCUAAUCCUAUAUAUUUUCAUUUUAGACCCUUAUCUUUCCGAUAAUCAUUGUUUUCGUCUGAAAAAAAGUCAAGAAUCAUUCUUAUGUCUUUUUUUUACUAUCAUUUAUUUUCUUAUGUCUUUUUUUUUAGCAAAUAAAUCAUUCUUAUGUCUUAUCAGAUUCUUUGCUCUGUUUCGGAAUUGUGGUCAACUUUUGUUUAAUUAUAUUAUCAUCUGCACAAAUUUCCUGCAAACGUGGAAUUCAUUGUUUAUGAAUAUAUAUAGGAUUAGGAAAAGAUAGUCAUCAUUCCAAUUCCACGUUUAAUUAGUUUCGGUUAAGAGACCGGAAUUAAUGAUGCCCUUACAAGACAGAAAGUUGUCCAACAUGUAACAAACAACCCAUCUUUGAGAUUGCAUGUAACGUGCUGAACAUUAUAGAAAACAUCAUCGUAGUUCAAGACGCCUUGUCCAAAGUACUUCAAAACCAGAGGCUUACGGAUCCUUUUGUCCCCCUCUCAUAACCACCAGACGAGUCCACAUGGUUUCUCACACAAAUAUCUUCACGUAACUCAUCCUAAGUAAACUAUUGGUGGAUUUUGUUUUUUGAUAUUAGGAUCUCAAAAGGAGGUAUGCAUGUAUACGUGCAAACGCAGAGGACGAUCUAACUGUCAGCAUAACAUAAGCUGACCUCAUCAUCACCGCUUAAGCCGUGACUGCCCUGAACGGACCCGCCUUCGCAAUUGCAAACCUUAUUGGACUUAGCCGAAACCAUGUAAAAUGACAAUAGUGCCUUGAACAUAUAUAAUUAUAUAUAACACAACAAAAAAGAUGUUUAACGCCUUGAACAUAUAUAAUUAUAUAUAACACAACAAAAAAGAUGUUUAACCCCAAUUACAAGCAAAUUGAGAAGGGUAAAUGUUUGUGGUAGAAAAAGGAAAACUAGCACGUCCACGUUAUUUUGUUCGAGUGUAUGAUUACGCUAUCUUUUUCUUAUAACAAAUUAAAAAGGAGUUGUUGUUUUUAAUAAAGCAAUUCCUUUUCAAUUGCAUGUACUAUUAUUUAUAGUAAAAAGAAAAUAAUUAUGUUUGAAGAGGUUACACUUUCCAGUUGAAAGAUACAAACAAGAGGAUGUAGAAAUAAUCCUCCUAUAUAUUAACUGAGAAGUCACUUUAGUGAUUUAUGCUGACAUGUCGCUUAUAAAAGAACUUUCUAAUUAAUUGUUAUAAUUUGAUUAGUUUAUGAUUUUUAUUUUUUAUUUAUUUAAUUAAAGUUUUUAAACGAAAACUAUUCAUAGAAUUAUCUAAUCUAAUCUAUGUUUCUAAACAUACAAUUAAACAUCUUAAAUAUAGAUGAAUUAAUAUAAGUUGCUUAUAGAAAUAAUUAAAUAUCUAGAUUACAUUAUAUAAAUUGAUAAGAUACAUAUAAAUACAUAUGAUACUAUCAAAACAAUUGUAAAACGGUUUUUAUUAUGUUUAUGUUAGUAGUGAAUAAAAUAAAUCAUAUAUUUUAGAAAACUAAUUAAUCUAAACUUAAUAACAUUAAUCAAAUUCACUCAUCCACUAUAUAUAUAGUAUAAAAUGUGCCAAAUGAAUGCAAAACAGUCAAAUAUAUAAUUCUAAAAAUUUUAAAUCAUUUUCCAAUGACAAUAUGAUAUCAUAUACGCAUUGUCACUUUUAGAAAUGAUUAAAAUGUCUUAUAUUUUAAAACAUAAAAAUUAUUUUGUAAGUUAUUUAAAUGUAUAUUAAUCAAGAAAUUUUUUAUUUAAUUCAUCUAUUAAUAUAAACAUGAGUUAACGUUAUUAUAUGGUAAGUCAUUUAAAAUUAUAUUAUUUGGUAAUUCAUUUAUAUAUGGUAAGUCAUUUAAUUAUAUUAACCAAAGUAUUUUUCACAGGAUUUUUCUAGAGUUCAUACUCUAUUAAUAUAAUUCAUAUAGCUUGGAUAAUAAUAAAAUUAGCAUGCUUACUUUUAAUAAGAAAGAAAAAAUCAGACAUAAAUAAAAGAACAAGAGGGAAGAAUAAUAAAACAUGUUUGUUGUGUUCUGGUAUUUUUAUAUUUUUAUAUAUUUAAUUUUUAUUUGUUUGUCGAGGUACAUGUAUUUUUUUGUGUUACUAUAAAUGUGAACUAUUAGUUUUAUGUGUUUUUAAAAUGUUAUGAUAAAUUUUGUAAGGAAGUUCAAUAAAAAUGACCAGCUCUACAAUUGUUAAAGUCAAAGAUGGAAAAUAUAAUAUAAAUUGAAAGUAAAAAAAAUUAUUUAAAACUUAAUGCGAUGUAUUUUACGCUAUAAUAAACUUUUAAAAUGUAUGAUAAUAAAAUUUUAACAAAAUUUAUACAAAUAAAAACAAUUUAUUUCAAAUAAUAUUGGAUUUUACAUUAAUAUUAAGUAUAUAUGCCAAAAUAACAACAUUUGAUUAUUUAAAAGUUGAAAUAUUAUUUUUUCUUAUUAGUUAAUCAAAUUUAAUUAAUAUAGGUAUGUUUUAAUUUAAAUUAAAAUAAAUUAAAACAAUAAUUUUUAAAAGAUAUGUAAACUAUGAUUAGUUUUAAUUAAAAACAUUUGGUUGAAUGAGUUAGUGUUUGAUAAAAUAGUGUGAUGACCAGAGAUAAUUUAAGGAAAAAUUUAUUUGCUUAACCUAUUUGAGUUUUGUGUUAAACACUAAAUUAAAAAAAUGAGUGAGAAAGUGUGAUUUGGAACAAAUUAUGAGAAAAAUUGGUUAAACUACUAUUUUCCUAAUACAUGUUUUUAUGUUUACCUUAAACAAAUUUAUCUUUAGUUUUAAAUUAAGAGAUAAAUCGUACUAUAUAUUAAUUCAGAAGCCAUACUUUUGAUUUUGUUUCUUUAAUAGGUUAAGUUUUUAAAAAUAGUUAUAAUUUGAUUGGUUGUCUCCGGGAGGCGGAGGCUCCAUCAGCUCUGUCGACGCCGGUUCAGGUCCCCGCGAGGUGGAGGCUACGUUUAGCUCUGCCGUCGUCGGUCUAGAUUAUGGGGGGUGAAGGUGCUCCUUGCUUUGCCUCGCCGUCGGUUAGUUCCCUCGUUUAAUUUUUUAGGGUUUAGUUGGUUUUCUUUCCUACUAGUGUUGUUGACGUUGGUUGGUGUGGAUGGGUGGUGACGACGUCGGAGGACGAUCGAAGCUCGACCAAGGUUAAAGGUGACGGUUCCCGCAAAAGUCUUCCUCUCGGUGAUUGCGACGAAUGGCGACGGAUGAGAUCUCGAUUCGUCGAGUGAUACUCUCCGAAUUUGGGCUCACUUCUGUCGAAGACGGUUGGCGGUGGUGAUGGUGUGGAGUCAGUGAACUCUGGUGAUCCGGGUGAACCGACGGUUGGUUCCCGGUGUUGAUUCGAAGUGAGAGCGUCAUCGAUGCCGUAGCGUGUGUCCGCGCGGCGACGAAGCCUAGUGGGUGUUAGGGUUUCUAGUUGGUGGGCUUUAGGCCCAGAAGUUUAAUGUUUUUGGCCCAGGUUUUAUGGGCUUAUGUAUGUCUUUAAUUAGGACUUUUAGACCCAUUAAUCUAAAAUCUAUUGACGGAAAAAAAAAUGGUUUACGCCAAAAAAUAAUAAUAAUAAUAAAGAAAAGGAGCUGUUUGUAACUUUGUAUCGUCUUGUACGGUUGUACCUUAUAAAAAACAUACCAAUUCUUGUUUCCAUUCUAAUGAAAACAUACCCCUCUCCCUCUUCCUACAUCCCAAACCAUUAGAAACAGCGGAUCCACAGCAUCAACAAGAGCAGCCUUCUUCCUCGUCGUCUCCGGAUCAGAAGAAAUGGGAGACUCACGUGAUGGCAGCUCUGGUGGCUCAUCCCGAUAACCAGCAACCCUCUCGAGCCCGUCAUCGGAAUGUUCCAUACUUGGAGCCGAAAGGCUGAAAUGCUCGCUCGCAACAUCUGGCAUAAUCAAAAGUCGCGGAGAAGAAGAAGAUCAGUCAAUCUCGGAGACAAUGGCGAGGAUCGAGCUCAUUGACGACGAGGAGGAGGAAAAGAGGAAGAUGAAGAUGAAAAAGAGAAACCAUGGAUCCACGAAGCUUUUCCUGUUGGUUGACUAUCUUUUCAUCUUUAUAUUCUUCUGCUUCCUUUGUUUCAUCAUCUUCAAGGUACUGGGCCCCAGAAACUUACAUCGGUUUGGUUUGGACACGGAAGGCAUUUCCUUUUGUCUUAAUCGCAUUGUUUUAUGAGCUUCGGGAUGUUGUCUUUUUUUUUGCAGCUAAUUGAUCAGACCAAACGCUAACUGUUCUUGUCUGUAAUACAUUUUUGGUUGCUGUUAUAUCUUUUUAAUAGCAUAUACUCAAAUGCUCGUGAUCUAUCCAAUACAUUAUAUCUUUUUAUAGAGAGGGAUAACAAAGAUAUGACUGGUAGACUUGUUACAGACUCUUUUGCAUCUAGCAAAUGCUUAUUUGGUGACAGUUUUGAAGUCAUGGUUGUGGCACUGGUGGAACUUGAUCUUCUCUUGAGCUCGGACCGGAAGCUUCGUAUCCAGAGUUUGGGGAAAAACUACUAGGGAUUCCAUAAGAAGAAGUGGUGGGAGCAGCAGCAGCAGCAACUGGAGUUUUGUAAAAAUGGAAUGGCUUCUUAUGAUUUGGUGGCAGCAAGAACCACCCUAAACCAGGAAUGAGACUUGAUGGUUGGGGUGCGCGAGCUUUACAAGAAAGUUUGAAUUUUUGAUAUCAGUGUCAUUGGAGGAGUUGGGAAUGUAACGCAUUGCGGUUACUUUCUCUGGACAUCCAAGAAUCAGGCUUUGCAGAAUUAUUGUCUGCGGUUCUGCAUCUAUUCACUUCAUCAACACAGAAUCUCCCACAGUAAACAAAAAAUCUUAGACUAUGUUUUGUUGAGUUUCAUAAAUGUUGUUUCAUGUAAUCUUUGGCGAGAGCAUUCAGCAAGACAUAAACAGUUAAACUUUAUAUUAAUAAGAUAAGAAGGGAUAAAUUAACUGUA